GCCGGGCAUGGUGGCGGGUGCCUGUAAUCCCAGCUACUCGGGAGGCUGAGGCAGGAGAAUCGCCUGAGCCCAGGAGGCAGAGGUUGCAGUGAACUGAGAUUGCACCACUGCACUCCAGCCUGGGCAACAAAACGAGACUCUGUCUCAA
Molecule: non-coding RNA, 148 nt
Filed under: Homo sapiens (human)
Lineage: Eukaryota; Metazoa; Chordata; Mammalia; Primates; Hominidae
Source: Rfam by way of RNAcentral